This 469-nucleotide ribosomal RNA is filed under the name uncultured bacterium. RNAcentral describes it as "bacterial SSU rRNA". It matches the Rfam family "Bacterial small subunit ribosomal RNA", at positions 355 to 825 of the family's 1533-position model. The record is from RNAcentral.
UCGAGAAUCUUCCGCAAUGGGCGCAAGCCUGACGGAGCGACACCGCGUGCAGGAUGAAGGCCUUCGGGUUGUAAACUGCUGUCACGCCAUAGGAAUGUCAAACGGUAAACAGUCGUUUGAUUGACUAAAGCGAGAGGAAGAGCCGGCUAACUCUGUGCCAGCAGCCGCGGUAAUACAGAGGGUGCAAGCGUUAAUCGGAAUGACUGGGCGUAAAGGGCGCGUAGGUGGUUGCCUAAGUUAGAUGUGAAAGCCCCGGGCUUAACCUGGGAAUUGCAUCCAAUACUGGGUAACUUGAGUAGAGUAGAGGGGAGUGGAAUUUCCGGUGUAGCGGUGGAAUGCGUAGAUAUCGGAAGGAACACCAGUGGCGAAGGCGGCUCCCUGGACUCAUACUGACACUGAAGCGCGAAAGCGUGGGGAGCAAACAGGAUUAGAUACCCAUGUAGUCCCUGAGCGGGCUGGCAAGGCGCAU